CUUCCAUCCGUGAGGGAAGGGACCCAUCCGGCAGGCCAUCAUCACUGAGCUCGUAAGCUUCCCCACCAGCCAUCAGAACUCCCAUGACCAUCUCUCUGGGUCUACACUGUUAACCCUCCAGCCUGACACCCAGAUGGAGGAGGAGAAAGCAGUGGCAGCUCUUUUUAUCCUUGGACACAGCCAGUUGUCAGCCAUUCGGGCUAAAAUAUGGAAGAGCUGCGUUGGAAACGAGAGCAUUACUUGCAGAAGCGGUGGCAGAUUCUACAGAACCAUGAAGGGCAGGACCAUGGUUUCCAGUCCUUACAUCUGACCUGCCUCAGGGGCUUCUGAAAACACUGGAGCCAAGAACGUUUUUAUUGGGCAUCCUCUGCCAUCACCCUGAGCUCCCACCUCGAGUUACCUGCCCCUGUAGAAUCCACAUCAAGUGUUAAAAUCCCUGCUACAACUUCCUCCUGGCUUUGCCACCUCAGCCAGUCCUUG
This is a long non-coding RNA of Zalophus californianus (California sea lion), 480 nucleotides long. RefSeq lists it as uncharacterized. NCBI's taxonomy places the organism in Eukaryota, Metazoa, Chordata, Mammalia, Carnivora, Otariidae. The record is from RefSeq and is a predicted model, not a curated record. The transcript is spliced from 3 exons.